AGUCUGUGAUGAGAAGUAAAAGGUCUGAUUGCAUUGUGCUCCUCGCCAUACACCCUUCUAGCUCCCAACGGUCUCUUCAUUAUCCCAUCCUGCUCUAGAUGUGCAGUGAGUGGUGGUUGAGACUGCUGACACAUUGGGAAGUCCCCCACACGCACACCUUGUAGAGAACAGCAAGGCGUGGCAAUGGUGGACAUCCAACAUAACCAACCCCUAAGGAGUCUGAAAUGGAUGGAGCAAUAUACAAUGCUUGAUAUGAUUUUUAAACUGAGACU
This is a non-coding RNA of Spea bombifrons (plains spadefoot toad), 272 nucleotides long. RefSeq annotates it as small Cajal body-specific RNA 6. The transcript has a single exon. Lineage: Eukaryota; Metazoa; Chordata; Amphibia; Anura; Pelobatidae. The record is from RefSeq and is a predicted model, not a curated record.